GCCUAAAGCGUCCGUAGCCGGCUCUGUAAGUUUCCGGUUAAAUCCAUUAGCUUAACUGAUGGGCCGCCGGAAAAACUGCAAAGCUAGGGAGUGGGAGAGGUAGACGGUACUCGGUAGGAAGGGGUAAAAUCCUUUGAUCUAUUGAUGACCACCUGUGGCGAAGGCGGUCUACCAGAACACGUUCGACGGUGAGGGAUGAAAGCUGGGGGAGCAAACCGGAUUAGAUACCCGGGUAGUCCCAGCUGUAAACGAUGCAGACUCGGUGAUGCACUGGCUUGUGGCCAGUGCAGUGCCGCAGGGAAGCCGUUAAGUUUGCCGCCUGGGAAGUACGUACGCAAGUAUGAAACUUAAAGGAAUUGGCGGGGGAGCACCACAAGGGGUGAAGCCUGCGGUUCAAUUGGAGUCAACGCCAGAAAUCUUACCCGAGGAGACAGCAGAAUGAAGGUCAAGCUGGAGACUUUACCAGACAAGCUGAGAAGUGGUGCAUGGCCGUCGCCAGCUCGUGCCGUGAGAUGUCCUGUUAAGUCAGGUAACGAGCGAGAUCCCUGCCUCUAGUUGCCACCAUUACUCUCAGGAGUAGUGGGGCGAAUUAGCGGGACCGCCACAGUUAAUGUGGAGGAAGGAAGGGGCCACGGCAGGUCAGUAUGCCCCGAA
Molecule: ribosomal RNA, 654 nt
Filed under: uncultured archaeon
Lineage: Archaea
Description: bacterial SSU rRNA
Rfam family: Archaeal small subunit ribosomal RNA
Source: RNAcentral